This 7177-nucleotide long non-coding RNA is filed under the name Nicotiana tabacum (common tobacco). Its description in RNAcentral is "long non-coding RNA (NTAB_LNC000558)". The record is from RNAcentral. Lineage: Eukaryota; Viridiplantae; Streptophyta; Magnoliopsida; Solanales; Solanaceae.
UUGCACGACGUGUUAACGUGCUACCAGUCCAAUCCAUACCACACAGAAAAUAAAUAUACAAGAAUACAUGUAUAUGAUCAAUGAAUAUCAAAUUUCAUACUCCUGUACUGGUAUAGCUGAUAUGCUAAGGUGUAUGCAUGUGCAAAGUGUACUAUCAUAGCUCAAGUUAGGCAUUUGCAUCACGAAAGUAGCAAUUAUCAGGUUCAAUAAGGAGAUUAACCUCUAUGUAACCUCAAACAUGGCUCAAAUAGCUCACAAUAGUGGUACAAAUAUAAGAACUACCACAACAUGAAACUUAGCAAUCAAUCCAAGGCAUAUCAUAGCCUAAACACUACCCGGGGCAUAAACAAUAUCUCGGUUCACACACAUAGGCUCAAUCCCACACAUAUGCGCCACCCAUAGUAUGUAGCUAUCAAACAUAACUCAAGCAACUAGUGCCUCAACCAAGUUUAGGAAAGAUAAAAAAUUUCAUACUUACGGACUUAACUAGGUAAGAGUUAUGAAAUCAAAAACCUUCCGAACAAAUAGUACAACACAUGAGUAAUCCGUAAGAGAAACUAUAAUUUCCAUGGCUAAUUAAGUAGUGUGCCAAGUUUCUAGAAUAGCAAAGCUCGAUACUUUACGCAAGUCUAGUCUCAGGAUAAAACAUGAAUUAAAGCAUUUGAAUAGGUAAGAAUAACCCAAGUAACAUAGUUAAAGCAUGGUGUAAGUCUAUGUCUACUCGAAAAUAAACAAGAAUCUAGUAUACACACGGACGCGUGUUACCUUAUUUGUGCAUAACUCCCAUAACACAUAACAUAUAGGAAAUAAAGCACUUGUGGGGAUAAAUUCUUUCUUACAAGGUUAGACAUGAGACACUCCUUAUUCUGAAAUCCAAUAAUCGGAUCCAACACCUCAAACCAAUGCCAAAUGAUCCUAAAUUAGCCAAAGAACUUGCAAACAAAUCAAAACAUAUUAAAAAUUCGUAAUUUAACAAUUAGAAACAAUCCUCAACCCCACAUAAAAAUUCAAUAAAAAUCAACCUUGGGCCCACGCGCCCGGAUUCCAAAUAUUCUCAAAAAUAAAUAUUACUCAUAGCACCACGAACUCAAAUAUAUAAUUUAUUCCAAAUUUCAUGUCCAAUUUCGUGGUCAAAUCCCCAAAAUUCCAAUUACUAGGUUUUCUUUAAAAAUUCCACAAUUUCUACAAAUUUGCAUGUUUAAAUCCAAAUUUAACCCAUGUAUUUAGCUCACUACAAGUUGGAAUGCCUUAACUUGUGAUAUAUGAUGAAAAUGUCCCUCCAACAUCUCCCCAAAAUUGGCUCAAAAUGAGAGAAAUGAGAUGAAAUGACUGAAGCCCUGAUUUGCAACUUAUAAACUGCAUAGUCGUUCCUCUUCGCGAUCGCGGAAGUACCCCCGUAGUCGCGAAGGCCAAAUAUUCUGCUGCUAAAAGUCCCCCACACGAACGCGAGAAGGGGCCCGCGAACGCGAUGCCUUACCAGGCCUGCUUUACACAAAUGCGACUGUACCUUCGCGAGCAUGAAGGCCAAACCUCAUGACCCAGUUUUUUUCUUCACAAACGCGACCUCCUUGUUGUGAACCCGAAGCACCACUGCCACAAGCCCUCGUGAAUGAGACUCACCCAGCAUGAACACACAGACAAAUGGCCCCCAGCACAAUUGCUUCAUCGCGAACGCAUGCUUCCCACCGCGUUUGCGAAGUUCAACACCAGAACGAACAACCAACAGCGAUAUUGUCCAAAACCAUCCUGAAACCCACUCGAGGCCCCCCAAACUCCGUUCAAUCAUACAAACCAGUUGAUAGCCUCAUCUUUGCCCCGUGCCUUCUCAUUUGACUUCUCCUUGGCAACUUGAGCCUCGUUGAACAUGGACUCUGUAUGAGACGGCGAUUCCGCGAUGUCAAUGACACCGACUAUUUCCCUCGAGGCAGGGAUAACUUCUCGGGGGGGCGCAACUUUUGAUUUUCCUUCUGGAUCUUGAGCUAAAGAGGGAUCGGCCUCUCGGCCACCUUCUCCAGUUACCGCAUGUUCUUCUUCGUCAAUGGUCGACCCAUGGGGGACGAACUCUAGUUCAUCAUCUUCAGGGUAAUCCCUGAGCCGGUAGAGGGAGUUGGAGUCUGGUACCCAACUUGUGUUCUCUUCUUGUUUUUUUUCCAGACCCGGACAUUUACUCUCUUCUUCCUGGCCUCGGCGUCCGGGGAACUAUAAGAUUUCCUCUUUUUCCUCUUUUUAUCCUCCUAUGCAGCAGCUACAUGCUGUCCCAAAGCAGAGGGUUUAGCAAGAGAGGACAGAGCCUCGUCCUUGUCCAAUGGAUGAAACUUAGUGGUCUUGGGCAACCUGUACAAGAGAAAGGACUUAGUAGAAAUAAAGGUUGAGUAUGAAAGUAGACUUGUUCAGGAGAAGCACUCACAAUGGGACCAGACCUCCCACUUACCCUUUGAAAGUUUGCACCAUUCGCGCUCAAAAUAUGAUAUUUGUUUGCAGAUUCACUCGAUCCACUCCUUGAAGUGAGGGACUACGUUGGGAAACCACUGCACGGUGAUAGGAACAGGCAAUUAUAAAAAGAACAAAAGAAAUUUGAAGUACUCAGGAAGGAAAGAAACUUACGUGCUGAGUUCCACUUUUCAUGGAACAGUAAAAAUUCGGGGGGAAUGAGGUCUUCCGUUUUCACCCGAACAAAUCUCCCCUCCCAACCAUGAUCCCGAUCUUCAUCGAUGAUCGAGAAUGGAGCUUUACUCGCUUGAUGGAUGAGCUUGAUUAAACCCCCUCAGAAAACUUAGGAACGUAGAGACGAAGUAGGUGGUCGAUGGUAAAUCGAGGUGCUUCGGUGUUAUUGGCAAAAUGGAGGAGGAGGCUUACGAUCCUCCUAAAGGACGGGUGAAUCUGCUCAAGGCAGACCUCGUACCUUUUGCAAAAACUGAGAAUUAUAGGAUCCACCGGGGCAAGCGUGAAUGGGUAAGUGUAAACACUUAGGUACCCUUCCACAUGAGUGGUAAUGUCCUCAUCGGGAUCAAAGAUUACCACUUCAUUGCCCUACCAGUUGCAGUCCUCCCGAACUGUAGGGAGUGUAUCCUCGAUAACUGAGCAGAUGUACCUCCAUAACCCCUCGCCUUGGUCUUGUUGACUAGAGGCUUUCUCGACUUUGAAGUCAUUUUCAAUGGAGCAGCCUCCGGGGAUGAAGCUCUUCAAGGGAGGUUCCGUGACCACCUCAGGCACGACCACCUCGGCAUCCAUGGAUGGGUUGGAAGUUAAAGGGACGGUUUGUUGAGGCACAGAUUUGGAAGUCUUUGCCAUCAGAUUCUAAGAUAUAUGAAGAUUUAAAGGUGGGGAUGAAGAUUUGAAGGUAAGGAUGAAGAUUUGAAGAUAAUGAUGAAGGUAUGAAGGUCAGAUUUGAAGAUGAAAAUAUGAAGGUCUGGAAAACAAUGUAUGAAGGUUUGAAGGAGUUAAGAAUAAGUGAAGAAUUCAUGGGUAGAUUAAGGAGUUCUGGAAUGGGAAAGUAAAAAAGUAAAAAAAGGACCGACGCUUUUAUAGAGAAGGGGUAAUCAAUGCGUGUCGUUUUGCAUUCGGGGACGUUCAACCGGCGGCUGACACAAAUUCGAAGUCAGAACGACGCAACUGAUGGGACAUUUUACUGACCUGUCAACUCGGUUGUAGCGUACGGAAGAAGGAACCGGGGUUAAUUUAUCGCUUUACGUCGCUUCGAUAAAUCUACUCUCCGAGAAAUGAAGGGACUAUCUGUAUACAGGUAAAAUCAGGGCUAGAGUUUUCCCCGAUUCCCCGAUGAGGAAACGAAGGGGAAGCACAGCUCGACAUGAUUAUAAUCAAGACCCAAAGACCCCUCGUAUCGAAACCCAUGAGAUAUGAACGAUGUAUCUGGGAUCAGGCACGGUGAACUAACGAACCCAGACCAAGUAUAGUUUUUGGAUCUCGAAAAACACGGAGAACGGUUAUGCAUGGCGAAUAUGGGCUAUGAUAUUCGCCCUCAACCGGAUAUUACCGUGCAAAUCCCUUCCGAUAUCAACUGCGGAUCGACAUUUACCGAAAAAACAAAAAUUUUACCUUAUUUAGACUUGUAUUAAGACUGAAAUUCUCCUAUUAUAUAAAGGGGAAGGUUUAUUUUAUUUUGACACAAUGUGACACAAAUCAAAGCAAUAAAAGUGUAUUUUUGUCUUCUAGCUAUUGUUCAAAGUGUUCUUCAUUUGUUCUCUUAUUUAUUCAUGAUCGAGCAUGUAUCGAGGGUCUGAUCGAGGAUAAAUUAAUGUUCAACCUAAGAUCUGGCUUGAUCAUCACAUUGCGAUUGGUUUGAUCAUUUAUUUUAUCUCUAACUUAUACAUGUUGUUCUUAAUCAUUCGUAUUGAAUCAAAUCACAUAUCUUUUAAACCGCGUAUAAAUUUAAUUGUUACUCAUUUUUUUAGAGUAAACACAUAUAAUAUUAGACAAUUGAUCAAAUUAACUUUUGAAAAGUGCAAAGUCUCUAGCGUUUAAGGAUUGAGUAGAAAAGAACAUUUGGAUAAUUCUUUAGCACUACAUUCAUGAUAUAAUUUAAAUUUUAGCAGUUAUACUUUUAAAGUUUUUUUAUUAUCUUAUGAUAUGGUAUUUAUAUAAAAUGUAAAAGCUAUCCUAAUUUUUUGGUUUGAUUCAGCCUGUUUUAAUAAUAUUUUGGGCACCUUUAUCUAGAAAAACGAAAUCAAACUAUAGCAAUAUUAAGACACCACGUUUUGGGAAAUCCCUCCCUCGUUUGCUCUAUGUGCUUUCAAAGUAGGGAUGGGUAUCGGUCGGUUCGGUUCGGUUUGUAAAAUUUCGGUUCGGUUAAUUUGGUUUUCGGUUUGUGAUUUUAAUAACCAAAAUCGAACCAUAAUAAUUUCGGUUCGGUUUGGUUUAAUCAAUUUGAUUUUCGGUUUAGCCAUGGCAAAAAUAGUACAAAACAACGAAAAUAGAUUACUUUUUACCGCCGAUGCAAGUGCUUCUACUGUCAAUACAAAGAGGACAUUUGACCUAAUUCAACCCCAAAAGUUAGACAUGAUUACCCAAAAUCAAAUGAAAUGGGACAAUAGUUUGUAACAUUUCGGAUGUGUAACUGUAGCAGGCAAAUAAGGAAGAACCUAAAGUAUAAGAAGGUAAUUUCACGGUUGUCGCACCUACUAUUCAUAAGUUCUCCAUGCAGCCUUGAUUUCUUCCUUGCUCUCCUUGUGGGCAUUUCUUUAGAACUUUACCGAAAGUUUUCCAUAUUGUUCCCUUUCCUCUUUCAAUAUUUUAGGUAAACAAGAAAAAGAUUUUCAUUUUAUAUGUCAAGUGCUUAUCAUUUUAACAUCUGUUAUUGCUCAUGUUAGGCAUAUAUUUUACGCUGAAAAAGCAAAGAGGUGAUCUCAAGCACCAAUGGACAAGAGGAGAACCAGAUACUGAAAUUCGGUUUUUCGGGUAAACCGAAAACCGAACCAUUAAAACCGAUCACCGAACCAAACAUCUAAUGUUUUAAAAUUAUAAAUCGCAAACUGAUCGAAUAAAUCGAAAAACAGAAACCGAAUAAAUCGAUUUCUUCGGUUCGGUCAGUUUUUUCGGUUCGGUCGGUAUUAUGCUUUCAGGUUGUUUAAUAACUAAUAACUGGCUUUAAUUUUUUAUAAUUAUGAAAUACCGCCUUUUCUCAGCAAAAAAGAAAAAGAAAAGAAGGGUAUAUGAAAAUAUGGACAGUGGGUGAGCAGUGAGCUAGUAUUCGCCAUCUUUGGCUAGACCGAUUCAUUUAUAGUUUAAGAAGUUUCUAAAUAUGAUACCAUUAUCCUAAAUAUAGAAGUAAUAAUGAUUGUAUUGGUACUUUCUGUUUACUAACUUAUUAUCCUAUUUCCUGAAUAUGAUACUAUUUACGUAGAAUAGCUAUUGGAUGGUUCAAGCUCGGCGAUCCUACUAAGACCAUCUCCCACCCUUCUUCCUUUUGUCCUCCAAUAUAGAGUAAUAGUUUUUUUUUGGUAAGGACUCUGGUGAGCACUUGCGUACUGGGUAAACUUUUUCGUGUAGUAAUUUGCAAACUACACGGGAUGUAAACCGCACUAGGCAACCUCUGUGCGACAGGCUCAACCCAGGAUGGAUUGAGGGAAAAAUCGAUCUCAGGUCAUCCAUAAAUGACCGCCCUCCAAACCAACUGGACAACCCCGAAGGGUUAAAAUGGAGUAAAGUUACUCCAAUCAUUACUCCAUUUUUACUCCAAAAAGGAAUAGUUCAUUUUAUAUUCUUCUCUCUUCAAUAUUAUAUUGUUAUCUUUUAUUUAAUUUUUAUUUUCUUAUUUCUAUUAAAAAAAAUUCUAUCUUUUUUAUACUUGCGCCAUUCAUUUUUUGAGAUGAUUAUAUAUUUUUUGUACAAUUAUAACUUAUAAUAAAAUUAACUUACAAUUUUACAUAAAAAUAAUAAAUACACGAAAAUUAAUUUAUCAAAAUUAUACGCCAAAGUUAAGAUAUAAAAUUCUAUUAUAAAGAUAUUAUAUAAACAUAAUUAGGUAUAUAAAGAGAUAUAUUAAAAGAGUUAAAUAAUAAAAAAAAUAAUAAAGUAAAAAUGAAUAGUAAAGGAGUAGCGCUCCAAAUUUUAAAGAGUUAAAUUCACUAACACUCUUAAAGAUUUUAUGUCCAACUUCAUAUUGAAUAGUAUUAAGUAAUCCAUUCUCCGUACACUGCCAGAUGGAGCCGGAGUACUUUAAUUUGCUAGGUCUAGCGACAUCAAUUUUAAAAUAGUCAUAACUAUAGAAAUAAUUCCACUACAAAAAGAGAUAAAUCUACGUUAAAUUUUUUUCAGGAAAAAAAAAAGAAGUUUCUAAUCAUCGUGUUUUACUGGAUCACUCCCUGGCCCUCUCCUAAAAUGGUUUGAUUUAAAGAAAAUCAAAUAAGAAAAAGAGAAAACAAAAGGCUACUUAGAGAGAGGAGGAGAAAAUUAACACGUAUAAUAAUAUAACUAACUUUAUUCAUCUCAUAAUCUCUGCAUUUUGCAACGAGAUCGAAACUGAACAAAACAUACACAAAGACAGAAAUAAAAUAUAAAAUAUAGGGUACAAACAAUAUCAAUAGCUUAGACAACAUGAAGCUACAAAAGAAGUUCGCCUCCUAUGGAGGCUUAUUAUUUACGCAUUUUUUCUUCUUCUUCUUUUCUCAUUACCUCUCGAAAAUGGAAAAAGCCUUUCUUUUAGCUCAACAUUCUGCGC